Long non-coding RNA from Talpa occidentalis (Iberian mole), 4414 nucleotides. RefSeq lists it as uncharacterized. NCBI's taxonomy places the organism in Eukaryota, Metazoa, Chordata, Mammalia, Eulipotyphla, Talpidae. The transcript has 7 exons. The record is from RefSeq and is a predicted model, not a curated record.
GCCCGCGCACGUCCCGCAGCCUGCGCCUCGCCGCGAGUAACGGUCGCUCGGGGUUCGGAACCGUCGCCCGGAAGUGGCAGUGAUGCUCAAAGUCUUCAUUUUGCUUAAGUGCCCCAGGUUUCUCCCAUGAGGCCCUUGGAGAAGACUGCAUAAUACCUGGAAAACUUCCCGUUUCACCAGCGGAAUUCAGUGUCACCGUUGCCUGGUGUUCCAUUUGUGGCAACAGGGAUGGAGCUGGAAGGAUUACACUGAGCAAAAUAAAGCCAGAAGGAGAAAGAAAAAUACCAGGUGGUGUCUCCUGUGGAGCCAAUAUAAUCACAACGCUCGAUAAAUAGGAAGGAGGAGACAGGGGAGACUUAGUGCUGCUGCCAGGUGGAGAGGAGCCGAGCCGAGGAAUGCCGGACGCACCAGGAUCCAGAAAAGGUUUACCCUAUGAGUAUCUUCUUUUUGGCUAAAUCCUUUCAUGGAAUAUCAUGGAAGAACAUGUCUGUUCUAUACCAAGGUGCUCAUAAAAGAAGAGAGAAAGGCCUCUAGUUAGCGGUCAUUAACAAAAACGCUGAAUGGGGUCAUCAUAUUUCUCAAGUCAAGAACAAAGACCCAGACAAGACUUCUGAGAACUAUGAAGUUUUAAGAUGUAUUCGGAUGCCACACUGAAAAUGGCCUGGUAUAUGAACUGACAGUGGCUAUAGGCUUGAUGUCAAAAGGAUUACGAUACCAAAAAGGACAAAUGAACAUAUCCCUCAGAGCUGAAAUAUAUUUUAAGGUCUUCGCUCUUUUUUUCAAAUUGCUGACACAUUUAGCCAAUAUCAACAGUAUUAGAUCACUUAACAAAAAUCCAUUAAUAAUUCCCUCCACUAUAUGAAAAUUAACUUCAAUCUCCAAAAAGUGUGGAUUAAAUUUUACUCAAAGAAGGGGCUAUGUUAUCAGGAGCAAGGCAGAUAAGAGGAACAAAAAGUAUCUACUGUUAAACCGAAGGAGCUUUUAUGCCUGUAUGAUAGGGACCACAGCCACUCAACUCCAUUAGCAGGUUACCAUGUGAGAAUGCAAAUCUAACAUUAGAGCUGCUCCUUUUUUGAAGUCUAACAAUCCAUACUGUCAUCUAAAAUAUCUGAAUUCUAAACGCUGGCGAGUAGCUGUUUUAAGAAGCACUACGUAAAAUGAAACAAACCACAAAACCAAACAACCAGUACAACAUGCGUCAAGCCAAACAAAACCUACUUGCAGGCUGACAAUCUGCCACCUCUAGGAAAAGGGUCAGGGAUUUUAGGAAAAUGCAUCUGUGAAACCAGACCAGGGAAGGGGGCUGGAAAGGAAAUGUAUGUAAAAGAAGCUAGAAAUGUCUUUCCAGGAAAAACUCCCCUGAAAAUUUGUCCUCCCACCCCCCCACACAAAAAAGGCAGGUAGAAAUUUUCCAUAUCUUGAUUAUUUAAAAUUCCAUUCCCUGGGUCUCCCACUUCCCAAUUAGAAAUGCAGCUUGCUGAGGAUAGGUAACUCAAUCAUCUUGAUAUCCUAAGGCUGAGGAGGAGCUAAACAACUCAAAUUUAACUCAGAAAAUUAAUUUACUCAAAAAUUUACUGAGUACCUACAGUGUGCAAGGCACUAUUCAAGAGAGAGCUCAACAAAAACAAAGAAAUCUCUUCCCUCAUGGACUUUAUCUUCUAGUGGGGAAAACAGACUUAAUAGGUAAAUUACAUGGUAUGUUAGAAGGUGGUAAGUACUAUGAAAAAAAAAAAAAAGGCAACAUAAGUGUGGGUUGAAGGGAGGGAGUGUUGCAAUUUUUAAUGGGGAGACAGAACCAGCUUCACCGAGGUGAGGGAAAGAGGAGAGUAGCUCUCUAGAGAACAAGCAGAAGGAAUAGUCAGUACACAGGCCUCAUGCAGGAGUGUAUCUGCAGCAUGAUGAACAGUGAAGAGGCCAGUGUGGUGACAGCACAGUUAGAAAGAGUGGAAGCAUAUCACUCCAAAGACUGGUUUUUAGCUAUGUAGUUUGGAGCAGUGACAAUGACUCACAUUUUAUAAGGAUCACACUGGUUGCUGCUGAGAAUGAUUAGAGAGAGUGACAAAGUUAGAAGCUAUAGGACAAGUUAGGAGGCUAUUAAACUGAUCCUGGAGGAAGAAAAUUUUGACUUGAAUCAGUGUUGGCAGUAAGGGAUAGCUGGAUUCUGAAGGCACUGUGAAUGAAGAUAGAGCCAGAUGUUGUCUCUUAUUUUCUAUUAUGGCUGUAUCAAAGAAAUAGAUAUUUUAGGAACACAAACUAUUUGAAAGGCAAACUCAUCUCUCCCUUUGGGUGAGAGGAAAAAUACUGUUGCUCUUAAAAACACAAGCUCUGACUUCCUAUCUAUUAGGAUGAAUAUUAUGUAUAUAAAAACCGCAGAAAAGAACAAAUAUUGGAGAGGAUGUGAAGAAAUUGGAGCCCUUGUACACUACUGGUGGGAAUGUAAAAUGGUUCCUCAAAAAAUUAAACCCAAUAUGAUCCAUCAAUUCCAUUUCUGGGUAUAUACUCAAAAGAAAUAAAAACAGGGAGUGGACCAGUUAUUUCCAUGGCUAUGCUGACAACAGCCAAAGGUAGAAGCAAACCAGAGUUCAUCAAUAGAUGAGUAAACAAAACAUGGUACAUACAUAAAAUGGCAUAUUAUUCUACUUUGAAAAGGAAGGAAAUUCUGAUACAUGCUACAGGAUGGAGGAAUCUUAAAGACAUCAUUCUAAGUUAAAUUAGCCAGUCACAGAAAAACAAAUACUGUGUAUGAUUUCACUUAUAUGUAGUUCUUAAAGUCCACUCAGGUGUGGCUCCUAGUUGUGGAAUGGAGGUUAACCAGAGGCUGUGGCAAGGGGGAAAUGUGUACAGUUUCAACUGGGGAAGAUGAAGUUCUCGUGGAUGGUGGCAGUUAAACAACAAUGUGUGUGUACAUAAUGCUAUAUAGGUCUGCACACUAAAAUGAAUUUUGUCAGGUAUAGUUUACCCCCCAAGUAAGGUAAAAAUAAUAGAAUAAUACUUUGUCUAUCUCUCAAACAACAAAAUUCCCCCAAAACACAAGUUCUGCAGUUAGCCUACCUGAGCACUUAUGAACUAUUAUACAUCCCAGACAAGUUACUAACUUCAUUGACCUUUCAUUUUCUCAUCUGUAAAACAGGGAGAACCCUACCCAAAGAAUUGCUGUAAAGAUCAAAUGAGGUAUCAGGAAAGUUCUUAGAACAGUAACUGGCACAUGACACUUAAUAAAUAUCAGCUCUUAUUAGCAUAAGUAAGAGACUUACUUACUCAAUGAUUUCAGGGAAAUAAUCACUGGAUGAUUAUUUCACGGUGAGUUAUUCCAUUCAGUUGAUGGUUACUAUCGAGCUGCAUGGGCAAUCUUCACAUUAACGAAGCCAUGAAACAACCAGGUGUUCUGUGGAGUCUGCUACAAAUUCAGAUAUACUUUGAAGCGACACCAGUUUAUGGUGGCUGAGGCUAAAAUACUCAAGUAAUUUGGGAAUAUAAAACUGGUUUCAAAUUUUAAAAAGUAAGGUAAAUCAUGAGACCACAUCUUAAUCCAAAUUCUUACAAUCUGUUAGUAAUGGAAAGAACUAGGGUGGUGUUCUUUUUAUGAGGUGUUUAUCAUGUAUCAGCAUGCAAAAAUAUACACUGAAUAUAUUAUAUGUACAUGAACACCAAGUUAUAUCUAGGCAAUUAAAAAAAAAACCUCUACAAUAUCUUUUAAAAUUAUAAUUCUUUAAAAAUGUUUCCUGGGUCUCCCUGGUGGCGCAAGGAUUAAGCACCACACUAUGAAGCAAUCCGCAGCCUCCGCAGCACGAGUUCAAUCCCUGGCCGGCCAGGAAGAAACUCACAUGGCGAGGCAGACCUCUCCUACCUUGCCCGCUGCUCCCCUCAGCAGUGUAUUUCAGUCAAUCUGCCUGUUCUGCUCCCCUACUCUAUCUCUGGUGGAUCCUCUCAAACCCCGCCUCUCUGGCCUGGACUCUAGCUCUUGUAUGCAUAAAUAAAUCUUAAAAAAAAAAAAAAGUUUCCUAUGUUAGGUUUAGGUUGAAUUAAGAAUGAUAUCCUUGAUAUAAAAGGUAGAGAAAACUAAUGAUUGUGAAUCUACAGAAAAUUAAACCUGGAGUAAAUUCAACACUGUAGUGUGUCAACACACCUGGCUUCUUACUGGCAUUUACCCAAAUUAUAAUACAAAAGAAAAAUCAGAAAACUCAAGGCAAAAAAAACUGGUGUGGUAACUUUGAAGGCAAAAAACUGGUGUGGUAAACAAAUAUCAAAGGCUGGUAAACUUUUGGAACCAACAUAUAUGACAGAAGAGGCAAAGUUCUGAUGUUUCAGGGAUCUGAAUUUAGAUUGUGCUUCAUGACCGCUUAUAGUAAAUAAAUUCCAGUUCCUAGAAAUGUUAUCUAAAUCUUUUUAUACAUAAAUAUGUCAUCACAGCUCU